GCACCACCUGUCGGUACGCCCGGCGCGCGGCCGGGGGCGGACGCCCCGCCCGGCUCCCGAGGAGCGGACAACGGCGGCAGCCCGAGGUCCCGGGACGAUGCGAGCUUUACCGGAGGGUGGGCCCCACGCAGGCUGUGUCGGUGCUCUCAAUCUCCUGCAGGAUCCGUUCAUGCUCGGGGACGGUGCCCAGACCCUCGCUAUUCUCCGCCAUCUUGGCUGGAAGCUGAGGAGCCGUUCCCCCAUGGAGUUCUGCAUGUGGCUGAAAGCUGGAAGGAUUUUAAAACUAGACAAUGCUGAAGCUCUGAAGCCAUUGGAAAGAAUUCAGGAUUAGUUACAAAGUAGCAUCCCAAACAGGUCUAAGCAUAAGCCCCUCUCUGGAGCCGGCUUGAUAAUGGCCAUCCUUCACCUUCUGCCGUGUUGGUGCAAUGACCUCAAGUGGCCACACUCAGUAAGUGCAUGAGAAUUAUGAACCAAGCCCAGCCAGGUCUCCGAGAAUUCCUGCUGCAAAAACCAUGUCCAGGAAUCUGAUGUUCCAUAAAGAUCUGGACCCUGUGGUGGAGAACAAUAGAAGGAAAUUUGAAGUUGGAGCCAAAUAAAGUCAGUUUUUCUGAAAUAUGGGCCAGUCUUUAGAGAAAUUCAAAAGUAAUUAGCCCCAUGUUCUGUUCAUUCAACAACUGUUUUUACUGAAUGCUUGCUGUGUGUCAGGCUCUGUGCUAAGCUCUUAGAGCUGGUUCAUCAGUAUGUGACCUAUGCGGUUGCUUGUGGCUUAAUGCUAUGCCAUCUCCAUCUUGUAAUUUUUAAUAAUUUCUAAACAAAGGGGCCUGCAUUUUCAUUUUGUAUUGGAUCUGAUAACUGGUGUUGUUAGUCUUACCCUCAGAACAAUGUCCUAAAAGGUCCAUUGGCUCACUCAUCCCAAAGCUAAACAUUUUCAAGUCUGUCAAGCAAUUGAAGAGCAAUAUUUUCUCUGAAUUUCAUUCUAGCUUUUCCUUCCUCUUCCCUCUCACGUCUAGCUUAUAACAUCAAUUGUUUUCUUCUCUUUUUUCUCCUCAUUGCUGGUGUUUCUCUUCAUCCUUAUUGUACUCUCUAUUCCUCACUCCUGUCCCACUUAGCUUCCCUUUAGUCCUUUUGCCCUUUCUCCCCUCCUCCUCUCAUCCUAUUUUUCUUCUCUCAGCAAAAUGGAUUUAGAAAUGUAACUAGUGUAGGGGCGACUGGGUGCUCAGGUUGAGUGUCUGCCUUUGGCUCAGGUUGUGAUCCUGGGGUCCUGGGAUUGAGUCUUGCAUUGGGCUCCCCAUGGGGAGCCUGCUCCUCCCUCUGCCUGUGUCUCUGCCUCUCUCUGUGUGUCUCU
Canis lupus familiaris (dog) is the source of this 1345-nucleotide long non-coding RNA. RefSeq lists it as uncharacterized. NCBI's taxonomy places the organism in Eukaryota, Metazoa, Chordata, Mammalia, Carnivora, Canidae. The record is from RefSeq and is a predicted model, not a curated record. The transcript has 3 exons.